GAAAUCCCCGAGCUCAACUNGGGAACUGCGUAUGAAACUAUUCAAGACUAGAAUAUGUCAGAGGGGGGUAGAAUUCCACGUGUAGACAGUGAAAUGCGUAGAGAUGUGGAGGAAUACCAAUGGCGAANGCAGCCCCCUGGGAUAAUAUUGACGCUCAUGCACGAAAGCGUGGGGAGCAAACAGGAUUAGAUACCCUGGNAGUCCACGCCCUAAACGAUGUCUACUAGUGGUUGGUGGAGUAAAAUCCAUGAGUAACGCAGCUAACGCGUGAAGUAGACCGCCNUGGGGAGUACGGUCCGCAAGAUUAUUACUCAAAUGAAUUG
Molecule: ribosomal RNA, 323 nt
Filed under: uncultured Methylophilus sp.
Lineage: Bacteria; Pseudomonadati; Pseudomonadota; Betaproteobacteria; Nitrosomonadales; Methylophilaceae
Description: bacterial SSU rRNA
Rfam family: Bacterial small subunit ribosomal RNA
Source: RNAcentral